Molecule: long non-coding RNA, 592 nt
Organism: Cornus florida
Lineage: Eukaryota; Viridiplantae; Streptophyta; Magnoliopsida; Cornales; Cornaceae
Exons: 2
Source: RefSeq, a predicted model, not a curated record
GCGGGCCAUUAAGAGAUUUUUUUGUUUGGCAAUUCAUUUCUUUGACUUCGUGGGCUGUUUGGUGUACAAUUGAUUGUAUGGGUAAUGAAAGAAUAAGGAAAAGUAAGAAAAGGAGAAAAUUGGUGGCGGGCCCAUGGCAUUUAAUCAUUGUUUUGAUAUUUUAUUUCAUGGUGAGCUGUAUUGAGAUUUUUUUUUUUUUGUCGGUGGAAAGCCAUUAUAUAGUUUGGAAUUUGUGCCUCAUGGGUGAGUUAAUUUGAGAAGACAAAUAGAGAAAUAUAGAGGAAAUACAAAGAGAGUGUGAGGAUACAGAAAGACGGCCGAGACUCAGAGGAUGCCGAGAAUUGUGGCCUUGAUAAUCCAGAGUUGAUUUAUCUAUUUUGCAGUUUUCAGGUACCGAGGAUAAGCUUGGAUUGCUAGUUUCGGGAUUAGGUGGAAGAAUAGGAGUUGAGGAAUUAAAUUACUUUAUUUAGAGAUUUUUAUGUUUUUAUCUGAGGAAAUUGAUUUAGUGUCAAUUUAAUUUAAUUUGAGAUGUUGUAUCUUAAUAUUGAGGAAAUUUGAUUGCGUAUCAAUAAAGAGUAUUUCAUUUAUUUGA